GACGAACGCUGGCGGCGUGCUUAACACAUGCAAGUCGAACGGAAAGGCCCUGCUUUUGGGGGGUGCUCGAGUGGCGAACGGGUGAGUAACACGUGAGUAACCUGCCCUUGACUUUGGGAUAACUUCAGGAAACUGGGGCUAAUACCGGAUAGGAGCUCCUGCUGCAUGGUGGGGGUUGGAAAGUUUCGGCGGUUGGGGAUGGACUCGCGGGUUAUCAGCUUGUUGGUGGGGUAGUGGCUUACCAAGGCUUUGACGGGUAGCCGGCCUGGGAGGGUGACCGGCCACAUUGGGACUGAGAGACGGCCCAGAAUCCUACGGGAGGCAGCAGUGGAGAAUAUUGCACAAUGGGCGGAAGCCUGAUGCAGCAACGCCGCGUGCGGGAUGACGGCCUUCGGGUUGUAAACCGCUUUCGCCUGUGACGAAGCGUGAGUGACGGUAAUGGGUAAAGAAGCACCGGCUAACUACGUG
Molecule: ribosomal RNA, 468 nt
Filed under: uncultured bacterium
Lineage: Bacteria
Description: partial 16S ribosomal RNA
Rfam family: Bacterial small subunit ribosomal RNA
Source: RNAcentral